AUACAGGGUGACAGCCCCGUACACAAAAGCGCAUGUGCUGUGAGCUCGAUGAGUAGGGCGGGACACGUGGUAUCCUGUCUGAAUAUGGGGGGACCAUCCUCCAAGGCUAAAUACUCCUGACUGACCGAUAGUGAACCAGUACCGUGAGGGAAAGGCGAAAAGAACCCCGGCGAGGGGAGUGAAAAAGAACCUGAAACCGUGUACGUACAAGCAGUGGGAGCCCCACCACCAAAGCAUUCUCUGGUGUUGAAGGCCCUGCAAAGCAGCAUCGCGGUGGCGGAGCGUCGUUUGCGACGCCCAACACACAAAACAAGCGGUGAGUGCUUUGGGGUGGGGUGACUGCGUACCUUUUGUAUAAUGGGUCAGCGACUUAUAUUCUGUAGCAAGGUUAACCGAAUAGGGGAGCCGGAGGGAAACCGAGUCUUAAUUGGGCGUUAAGUUGCAGGGUAUAGACCCGAAACCCGGUGAUCUAGCCAUGGGCAGGUUGAAGGUUGGGUAACACUAACUGGAGGACCGAACCGACUAAUGUUGAAAAAUUAGCGGAUGACCUGUGGCUGGGGGUGAAAGGCCAAUCAAACCGGGAGAUAGCUGGUUCUCCCCGAAAGCUAUUUAGGUAGCGCCUCGUGAAUUCAUCUCCGGGGGUAGAGCACUGUUUCGGCUAGGGGGCCAUCCCGGCUUACCAACCCGAUGCAAACUGCGAAUACCGGAGAAUGUUAUCACGGGAGACACACGGCGGGUGCUAACGUCCGUCGUGAAGAGGGAAACAACCCAGACCGCCAGCUAAGGUCCCAAAGUCAUGGUUAAGUGGGAAACGAUGUGGGAAGGCCCAGACAGCCAGGAUGUUGGCUUAGAAGCAGCCAUCAUUUAAAGAAAGCGUAAUAGCUCACUGGUCGAGUCGGCCUGCGCGGAAGAUGUAACGGGGCUAAACCAU
Molecule: ribosomal RNA, 931 nt
Filed under: Salmonella enterica
Lineage: Bacteria; Pseudomonadati; Pseudomonadota; Gammaproteobacteria; Enterobacterales; Enterobacteriaceae
Description: partial 23S ribosomal RNA
Rfam family: Bacterial large subunit ribosomal RNA
Source: RNAcentral